Molecule: long non-coding RNA, 1682 nt
Filed under: Aquilegia coerulea
Lineage: Eukaryota; Viridiplantae; Streptophyta; Magnoliopsida; Ranunculales; Ranunculaceae
Description: long non-coding RNA (ACOE_LNC001263)
Source: RNAcentral
ACUAAUAUCUGUUAUUCCUAUCCUAUCCUAUAUAUAACAUAACAUAAUUUUCUGCUGCAAUUCUGCAAACCUAGCCGUCUCUGCCGUCUCUAACUCGAUCUUCGUCUCCAGCAAACCUAGCCGUCUUCUUCUCUAACUCGAUCUUCUCUAACUCGAUCUUCUCUAACUCGAUCUUCGUCUCCUCUUAUUCUCUUGAUGUUCUUCUUCUUCUUCUUCUCUUGAGCAGAUUUUAGGCUUGUCUAACUUGAUGUUCUUCUUCUUCUUCUUCAGCAGUUUAGAUCAGAUCGUUGAUUGUUAUUUGCUUGUGAUUUGGUAAGUUUUCUUUGCUUGUGAUUUGCUUGUGAUUUGGUAAGUUUUCUUUGCUUCUAAUUUUAAUUGUAGAUUUCUUUUUUUUUGAUCGCUUUAAACUGAAUUGCUUCUUAGGAUAAAUAGGCUGAUAUUAGUCGGCCAGUGUUGAUUUCACAUUACAUUUUGCCUUAAGAUUGUUUUGUUUGAUUGUUGACAUUGAUACAAAAAAUUUUGUCAAACAUAUGGGUUCUUAGAAUGAUUUUUCUGGGUCAGACUAACCUAUCUACAGUCCAUACAUACCGCGUUGAUUUUGUUGUGCAUAUCAGCAUAUGUACAUUAUGUUUGAUCAUUGAUGAAAGAGUAGUACAAAUACAUCAUGCGCUAGGAUUUCUUUUAUUAGAUUUCAAAUGCAAACACAUUGUAACUCUGUGUAAUCAGAUGUAUAGGAUUUCUCAUUUCUCUGGUUCCAGUCUAACCAAUUCGAGGGACCUGCGCUACCUUCCAAUUGGAAGUUGCUAUUCAUUUAGCAUAUUGAAUUAAAGAGUGAUCUAGGUAUUUAUGCAGGGUGAAUCGUAAACCAUAUCAGGCUGAUUAUGUAGAAUAGAUGAGUUGUCGAUAUGCUUUCUGCAAUCAUAUGUUCAUCAGUUGAGAUUGCUGAUAACUGUAUUCGUAUUAUAUAGAUUUUGUUGAAAUACUUGAUAUGUAGCUCAAUUGGAUUACAAUCUGGUGAAUAUACAAGUGCACUGAAGAUAUUGAAUUUUUUGUUUUUCAUUCUUCUGAGUGUUCUGAAGUCAAAGAGAAAGGAGAAACAUGUACUGCUAUUUCCCCCCUGUAUGUACACCUCGAGAUGUCUUCAUAGCUGCUACAAACUCCUGACGUAUGGCUGUUAGGGUCAAUUGGGAGGACUUGGAAGCUUGAAAACACGUUUGCCUAAACAUGGACCUGUUAAUGCAUCCAUAUGGCUGCUAAUCACACUUGAUAUGCGGAAAUCCAGCUUCUGCAACACUGCUCGUCUGUUGGAAAAGUAUGCCCAGCUUUCCAUCAGCAUUUCAUCAUCUGAUCUGCAAUAACCUGAAUCCUUAACAAAGCCAGGUGAUACUAGAGUAAUAAAGUACACUAAUAGAUCAUAUACCUCAUAAUCAAAGAAGACCAGCUUUUGUAUCCAGAAGAAAUGAGAGUCUCCAUGGUUACAUUAUGCAAUUGUAACGUCGUAAUGGUUUGCUUUUUAUGAGAUUGUAAUAUUUUAAUUGGUGUGACGAUCUAGCUAGAUUAUUUGAUGUAUUUUGACACUAUUUGAGGUGGUAUUUGGCAUUUUGGCCAUUUGGGAGGCUAUUUUUCAUUUAUUUCCUAUAAUCUGUUUUAUACCAGGAAUUCAGGAAAAAGCUGCAAACGAG